GAAUAAUAUGUGGUAUGAGAAAGGGAACCAGCCUGCCCUGAUUUGCUGGAGAGUUUGACCUUGUCAAUCUCCAGUCUGGUUUGAAAUGGUCCAGUGAUGGCCCAGGCAUCAUGGGAUUCAGGUGCAACUUUGAAAACCCUGUCCUUUCCAGGAUAUUUUUGCUAUGACUCCAGCUGGCUCAUAAGCAGUGAGCCUGGCUAGAAGAAAAAAGAAAGCAGCUCCUUUGUUUCCCUGGUUGCAGAAGAAUCCCUGAGGAGGAACCAGAUGGAUCCUGUUACAGGAAAGCAGUUCAGGCUGAACACAGUGAAUGCAUGUUGAAGCCCAUCCCAAGUAAAUGCAAAUUGGCUUUCUCUUCUAACUAGAGUUGAAAAAGAAGGCAAGCGCCAAACCAAUAAAGAGAACUACGUUUUCUACACUUCGUGACUCUCUGGCAGGACCAUGUGACAGAGUUCUGAACAUUUGAAUGUGGAUAUACAUGAUAUAUGACUAUUCUAAGCUCUAAAAUCUCCAUGGAAUUAUUUAUGACAGAUAAUAAUGGAUUUAGAUCAUAAUCUCAAAAAACACAAUCCCAAACCCUGUAAUUCCAAAUGUUGAAAUAAUGAAUUAUCAAAAUUCAUUAAGUCUAAAUCCCUAAUGUCUAAAAUCCCCAAAAGCAUAAUCAUAGGAUAGUUGUAUCGUGGAACUAUUACCUUGUUAUUGUCUUUAUUUAGAAAUUAAGUAUGGCUUAAGGAGAUGUAUAUGGAUUCCUAAUUGACAAGGAGUAGAUUUGUGACCUUAAUUUUAAGUGUCAGCUUGACUAGAUUAAGGAAUACCCAGAAAAAUGGUAAUGCAUUAUUUUGGACUUGUCUGUGAGAAUGUUCCAGAGGAGAUUAGUGAGUGAGUCCGAGUGGGCAAGGCGAGGAAAACCUGCCCUCAAUAUUGGUGGAAACCAUUUAAUCAGCUGGGGAACCAGAGAGAGCAGGUACAGAAAGGCAACUGGUCCCUCUCUGACAACUAGGGUAGACUUUUCUUUUGCUGCUUUGAACAUCAGAACUCCAAGAUUUUCAGCAUUUGUACUCCAAGACUUACACCAGAGGUCCCCAGGUCCUGAGGCUUACAGCCUCAGUCUGAGAGUUACAUCAUCUGCUUCUCUGGUUUUCAUGUAAAAACAUUGACAUUUCCUUAGUAAAUGAUAAUAUGUUCUUUUUGUACACCUGGAUUGGUGAAAUUUCUCGAGCUCUCAACUCUUUGGGUUACUGCAUACGCAGUGGUGACCCAUUGUGAUUUUUAUUCCAUCUUCUCAAAAAUUUAGGUUGUUCAUAACAGUAUUUUAGAUGAUGAGUUGUUGAGUGUACAUUACUACCAACCAUACUGAUUUGUGCUUAUACAUUUUGGUCUUGACCUAUUUCUCUAUGAAUACGUUUCAUCUGCUUAUAACUUGUAUAUACAUGUGAUUGUCGUUAGUAUAAUUAGUGUUUAUGCUUGCAAAAAUACUUAUAUCAUUAUUGCCUAUAUUAUUGUUAAAAUUGGCCUAUGAAAU
RNAcentral lists this long non-coding RNA (1519 nucleotides) under Homo sapiens (human). RNAcentral describes it as "HSALNT0072936". Lineage: Eukaryota; Metazoa; Chordata; Mammalia; Primates; Hominidae. The record is from RNAcentral.